Neopelma chrysocephalum (saffron-crested tyrant-manakin) is the source of this 2285-nucleotide long non-coding RNA. RefSeq lists it as uncharacterized. The transcript is spliced from 3 exons. Lineage: Eukaryota; Metazoa; Chordata; Aves; Passeriformes; Pipridae. The record is from RefSeq and is a predicted model, not a curated record.
CCCGGAGACGCUCCUCGCUCGGGAGAGUCUCGUGCUCCGGUGUGGGAGCCGCGUCCGGAACGCCCGGGGGAGGGGGGUGGGAUGUGCAGGUGUGAGCGCACCUGGAUGCCGCCGUGCCCCGGGGUACGCGCUCGCAGCGGUGGCAGGUGAGGAGAGGCAGACAGGCCGCAGGGACUUUGAACCUUGGGCACACAGGGGACGGUGGCAGCAAGGUUAAAACACAUCGCAGAGAGGCAGGAAGAGCCAGGCGACAAAGCAGAGCUGUCACCGGUAUCGCGAGGGACCUGUGCCAGCCCCUGUGUUCAUCAAUGACCUAGAAAAGGCGGGAGUGGUAACAUGAGAGAGCCCGCUCAGUGCAUUUCAGUGAGGCUCUGCUGGCUCCCAUCUCAGACCUGUGACACCAAGAUCCGUAUAGGUGCUGCUGCACGGGGAUGCUACAGCCAAGGAUGGAGUUAAGUGCUCCUGGCAAAGCUCUGGGGUCACCCAGAGUGUGGUUUAGGGACAGAGUGGAUGGGACAGGCAAGGGAUGCUCUGCCGCACAGCAGAGCCCUUAGGCUUCUUACUCUGGUCCUCUGUGCCAGCCAGCAGAGCCAGGAUGGGUGCCAGGUGAGGAGUCCUAGCUGGUGCCUUGGCUUGGCCAUAGUGGUAGUUGCAGCAGGAGAGGGGGAUUGACAAAGCCAAGGGAUUCAGGGUGUGGAAAUCUCCACCUGCUUCUUUCAUUGAGGGUAGCAGUACUGGAGCCAAGCAUGGUUCUGGGGGGUUCUUGCUGCUCUGAUACUGGGGAGAGAGAAGGAUCAAAAAGCCAGGAAGUGGAAUGUUAGCUAUCUUGGGGUAGAAGGAAGAUGUUAAGCAGGGAAAAGACAGGCUGCAAAGAGAGGUAGGAAAGAGUAGAUGUGCCUGAUUGGGGACAGGUUAGUAAAAUAAAACAGAGACCACCUGAGGACAUGGCUGUGGAGGAAAGGAAGAACCCCUGCAUGCAGGGGGGAGAGCGCUGCAGUACAGGGAAAAUGAUAAUGUUUCCUUUUUCUUCCAGAUAACCAAAAUAAAUAAUCAGAAGAAAGUAGGAGGCAGGAAAAACAGCAUCGUUGGGAAGAGAGAGGACUUUGCUCAGUUUCACACCAGUUUCAGACAACAUGUGGGCUCUGGUUCCAGUCCUCCCUGGCUAAUCUCAGCCACUUUUCUAUUACAUAUCACUCAUUGCUCUCUAGAGGCACUGUGUGGAAGAAACUAUUUGAGGACACUGUAAGCCUGGCAGCACUGAGAAGCCCUUAGUUCUUCAAUAUUGAUAUACCUGAAGCUAUCAACAUUUGGUUUGUUUUAAAGCAGACACUUGAAGUCAUUUCCAUGUUUAUGAACACAAACAGGCUCACUGUCAUCCCAUGGCUAUGGACACCCGAGUAUGAAGAAGAUCCUUUUUUAAGGAACAGGACAAAUGGAAAGACAGACAUUAGUGACCUCUGAGACUAAAAACUUCAAAAUUUUAAAUCAAACUGUUCAAUUCUCUGAUGUUUCCUCACAAAUUAUGCAUUUUAUUUCCUUCCCCAACAUGAGAUACCUCACUUCUUUAUUCCCAUCAAAGCUUUUUUCCCCCAGCUUUGAGUCCAUGACUGUUAUUACCCCUUUUUUCCAGCCCCUCUGGCAACUGCCAUUACCAUAUUUGCCCCUUUUUUUGGAAUAUUUUACAUACCACAUUCAAGGCAAGGAGAAUGUCACAUAUUCCCAACCAUAUUCACUAAGACAUUUUUUCUAAAGAAAUUAAAGACCCCUGAAUUCACUCUCCAGGCUUCUCCUGAAGUUUGUUCUUCAUUUGCUUUGCAAGACGCAAAACUUCACCCCUGAUUCCCCUUCAUAGUAAUACAAACUAACACAUUCAACAGGAUGUUUUCAAAUUUGAAUGUGUCAAAGCCUUUGAUAAAGCAGAUUUUCACUUCAUUUUUCUUAAUAAACCCAUAAAUAGCUUGCUGCUGCUUAGUAGAUCACUUAACACAUGUCUAGGCAUACUAAUAGCAAUCCCCACACAAGACUCCAGACAAAAUUCAAUUUUAGCAUCUUCGGCCCUAUCUUUCCAGAGAUGUUACUUUCUCAGCAUGCUUCUAACUCACCAAGGUGUCAGCCCUCUUCCUAAAUAAGCUUUUGCCAGGCAGAACAAUCUCUUCUGGCUGUGGUCUCCCAGUUCCUCUUUCAAAGACCUUUGCAGGAGAAUCUGCUUGGCUCCAGAAGGAGAUAACCGAGAGUUAACCAUCCUCCUUGAUUUUUCUGGUAACAUGAAGUGUACAUACCUCAUC